Molecule: ribosomal RNA, 253 nt
Filed under: uncultured bacterium
Lineage: Bacteria
Description: partial 16S ribosomal RNA
Rfam family: Bacterial small subunit ribosomal RNA
Source: RNAcentral
GACGUAGGGCGCGAGCGUUGUCCGGAUUUAUUGGGCGUAAAGAGUUCGUAGGUGGUUUGUCGCGUUGUCCGUGAAAACUCACAACUCAAUUGUGGGCGUGCGGGCGAUACGGGCAGACUGGAGUACUGCAGGGGAGACUGGAAUUCCUGGUGUAGCGGUGGAAUGCGCAGAUAUCAGGAGGAACACCGGUGGCGAAGGCGGGUCUCUGGGCAGUAACUGACGCUGAGGAGCGAAAGCGUGGGGAGAGAACAGG